This 757-nucleotide ribosomal RNA is filed under the name Lactobacillus sp. RNAcentral describes it as "bacterial SSU rRNA". It matches the Rfam family "Bacterial small subunit ribosomal RNA", at positions 50 to 762 of the family's 1533-position model. Lineage: Bacteria; Bacillati; Bacillota; Bacilli; Lactobacillales; Lactobacillaceae. The record is from RNAcentral.
AAUACAUGCAAGUCGAACGAGCUGCGCCUAAUGAUAGUUGAUGCUUGCAUUAACUUGACUUAAGUUAGCAGCGAGUGGCGAACUGGUGAGUAACACGUGGAUAACCUGCCCAGAAGAAGGGGAUAACACCUGGAAACAGAUGCUAAUACCGUAUAACAACGAAAACCACAUGGUUUUCGUUUGAAAGAUGGCCUUUGUGCUAUCGCUUUUGGAUGGAUCCGCGGCGCAUUAGCUAGUUGGUGAGAUAAAGGCUCACCAAGGCAAUGAUGCGUAGCCGACCUGAGAGGGUAAUCGGCCACAUUGGGACUGAGACACGGCCCAGACUCCUACGGGAGGCAGCAGUAGGGAAUCUUCCACAAUGGACGAAAGUCUGAUGGAGCAAUGCCGCGUGAGUGAAGAAGGGUUUCGGCUCGUAAAACUCUGUUGUUAGAGAAGAACGGGCGUGAGAGUAACUGCUCACGUCGCGACGGUAUCUAACCAGAAAGUCACGGCUAACUACGUGCCAGCAGCCGCGGUAAUACGUAGGUGGCAAGCGUUGUCCGGAUUUAUUGGGCGUAAAGCGAGCGCAGGCGGUCUUCUAAGUCUGAUGUGAAAGCCUUCGGCUUAACCGGAGAAGUGCAUCGGAAACUGGGAAACUUGAGUGCAGAAGAGGACAGUGGAACUCCAUGUGUAGCGGUGAAAUGCGUAGAUAUAUGGAGGAACACCAGUGGCGAAGGCGGCUGUCUAGUCUGUAACUGACGCUGAGGCUCGAAAGCAU